GUGAUGACAGUAAGGUUGCUGAGGGACUGAAUCAGCCAGUCAUUGACCUGUCUCUUAGGGAACAAGUGUAGAUUCCACUUAAAACUCCUAUGAUUUUCCUUUCUGUCUUUUGGAUAUAUCCUUUGCAGUAUAAUCACAAGAAAUGCCUUAGCAUGUGCAUUAACUGUAAAAGAAUGAGGAAUUGCCUUGGGGACACGCCAUUAAAUCAUAACAAUGAAUCAAUCUCUGAAUAGGAAAAGGGAGUUUGCUUUUCCCAGGGAAAAAAAAAAGCAAACAAACCACCACCUCCUGUUGCACAGUGAAGAGGAAACUAGAAGAAGCUUCCAUCUUGCUCAGGACAAGACCAGUGGCUGGCUUUUGCUUCUCAAAGGGAGGAAAAUAGUGUGGCCUCCAGAGAUAAUACCUGGAGGCAAGGAAAACAGAUUCAGCAAAAUCCUUGUCCAAACCCUGGAAAUAUCCAGAAGAUAUAAAGGAGAAGAGUUCACUCAAGAUCAAAAAAUGCUGAAGGUCGAAAACAUCCCGGGACGCUGCUUCUGUAGAAUCCACAUCACUGGACUAUUUCUACCUCCUCACUAAAGAUGUUCAGAAAUGGAGACAAAUACAAGCAUGAGAGGGAGUUCUAAAGAUGAGAAGCAAAAAUUACAUGGCAGGUAUGUACCUGUACUUCCCACUCAUUAACGGUUAAGGAUUAAACGCAAGAAUGGGGACGGCCUUUUAUCUGUCUUCUUUUCUUGCUGCAUUAUACACAAAU
Molecule: long non-coding RNA, 751 nt
Filed under: Calidris pygmaea (Spoon-billed sandpiper)
Lineage: Eukaryota; Metazoa; Chordata; Aves; Charadriiformes; Scolopacidae
Description: lncRNA (ENSCPGG00000018049.1)
Source: RNAcentral